This 1603-nucleotide long non-coding RNA is filed under the name Jatropha curcas. RNAcentral describes it as "long non-coding RNA (JCUR_LNC002646)". Lineage: Eukaryota; Viridiplantae; Streptophyta; Magnoliopsida; Malpighiales; Euphorbiaceae. The record is from RNAcentral.
GCUGAUUUAACUCAUGGUCAUACAUGGUAAUUGGAAAUUCAUAUUCGACAUAAAUGAGCAAUUUAAAGAGCAACUUUAUUUAAACAGAGUACUGACAACGCAUUCUUCUCCUAUUUUUUUUGACAACAGGUGAUCCUAAACAAAUUGGUAUCCAUGUGUUUUAAACUUUAUCCUUUUCCAUGAAAAAAGAUUAAAAGUAAUUCAAUUCUGUUUUGUGUUUUCCAUGGAAGACCAGCUAUGAGGUACUAAAUGCUGAAGUCAAAUUAGGUCUAUGCCCCAUAACAUUCAAAUAUGGAGUAAAAUACCUUGUAAUAACAGAAAGCAUGAGUUGCAUACAGGAUAAGUAGCUAUAAAGAUGACAACAACACUUUUGGCAUAUCUGCCGACUCCUGAGUUUGAACUUAGAAUGACUAAGACAUUUAUAAACAAGAACCAACAAUCACAGAAUUUAAGUCUGUUUGAAAUUAGAAGUAUUGUGCACCAUGGACUGAACAGGAAAUAAUGGUUCAUAUAUAACUGAAACCCUAGAACCUAAGGCAUUUAUAACUGAAACAAUAGAACCCAGAGCAUUUCAGUAGCAAACGGAUACAAAGAACAGAAAAGAAAAAAACGAGUGCCUUUUAAUGGUGAUUUGCUACUUAAAAAAAAAGAACACAAUUCCGGCAGACAAUUCCAUUUUCAUAUAACAUUUAUCAAAUGCCAACCAUUUCAACUUGUGCACUAACCUCAGUUGAUGCAAACUAAUUGACCCAAAUUUCAAAAUAUCCAAAUUCUCAGUACACAUUGUGUAAUGUACUGUGUACUAAACUUUUCCUACCAAUUUUCGAAAUACAAUUAUUCAUAUCAAGUUAUGCCAAAAACAGGAAAACAAAAUACAGCUAGAAAAUCAUAUACGCAUGAUAAUCCUCAAAUGAAAAUGCAAAGUAGAAUGGGUAUCAAUCGUUUGUUUAAACCACAUAAUAGCAAAUAAAGUAGAUAAUACAAAUCAAUGAAUCAGAUUUGAUGUAAAUCUUGUUAGCCAAAACAUAAGAACAACAUUUCAUUUCACUCACAAACCAUAGCCAAAAUGGAUUAAUAAACAAAAAGCGGUAAAAGAGUCCAAAGUUUAGAAAAUGCUUACAUAUUUCUUGCGGCCAUAGCCCUCUUCACCACCAUAACCAUAGUUCUUACGAGACUCAUCGUCAUCAACAUCGCGACUCUCAUAAGCUGGUCUCACAUACUCCUCCUCUUGCCUCCCAUAACUAGGCCUCCUUGGUGGGUCAUCUCCAUAACUCGGUCUCUCGUAUUCGGGCCUUCCUCCAUACGCUUCCUCCCCAUAACUAGGCUUCCGCCCAUAACCUUCGCCAUAUCCUGACCCACCACCUUCGUAUUCAGACUGUGGCCUACCUCCAUAUCCGGAUCCAUAUUCCGAACUAGGCCUCUCAUACCCAGGCUCAGGUCUCCUGCCAUACCCGGAUCCAUACUCCCCACCUGGUGGCCUCUCAUAUCCAGUCCCAUAUUCUGAUUCUGGCCUCCUUCCAUAGCCACCAGAUCCAUAUUCUGAAUCGGGUCUCUGGCCAUAACCAGAACCAUAUUCCUCACCGGAUGGCCUUCCGCCAUAUCC